AAUAUCAGAACAGCGAUUACUCACCUCGAACUGGACAAAGAUGUAUUAUUUAUUUAAUGACUAAGACGCGAAGGACAUAAUGUUGCUCCCAGACAAGGCCCAAAUCUAUGGAACGCCGUUUGGGUCUUAAAGCACAUGGUCAAAACAUGAUCUUUUUAAUGCUACGUGUGUGAAGUAAACAGGUGGAGGCUCUAAAUUAACAUCUUCACGGGCUAAAUUAAUGCCUACACGCGUCAAAUAAGCAUGUGCAAAUAUGUUUGCAGGUGGUUCAACAUGUGCUAAAUAAACGUCUGCAAGCGGUCCUGCACACGUCAAGUUAACGCCUACAGCUGCUAAAUAUACACCUACACACGCUAACUUAACGCAUUCUUUAAUAUGCUAAUUUUACUAGCCAAUUUCCCUCCCUCCUCCUUUCAACCAGAUUUCACAGUUUGAAGGAACUUCCUUUUCCACUGCAAGCAGAGUUUGAACCUUUACAAGAAGGGAACCAUGAAGAGGAGCUUGGAGUGGGCAAGGGGGAUGCUGAUAAAGCAGCAGAGAAGACCUGAUUCAUCAAGUAUCAAUUAAUUCUGGUGAUUCUCACCUGGUUGGCAUGCAUGCACAACAUGACAAGGUGUACAACAUUAAGCCCAAUCAAAUAUCCAAUGUUAUUCAAACAUGUAUCCCAAUUUACAGUCAAGCAACGUUUGUCAGCUGUGUUAAUGUUAUGAACUACAAACAAUCUAUGGUUCUUGGAGUCAAUGAAUCAAUUGAAAGGGACUACAAUUAGACAUUUUUAAACUGUGCCAGUAAAGAUGACAAAGUCAUCUGCUCUUAUGGUUAUGUUUACGUUUUUUCCAGACACUUCAAUCUGACACUCUUGUUAAUGUUUGACGUCAGGCAAAACAUCUUCAGCCACUGUAGGACGGAGAGCCGCUGGUUGGCAUUUGACUGCAGUGUCUGUGGGUGUACCAGGAAAGGACGUUAGAAGUUAGGUCCCUAUGAUAUCAAUGCUUCUUACCAUCUCCACUGCAGCCCAGUCGAUAUCAAUUUAAAAAAACUGGAACAAUAGAUAGUGUAGCACAAUGUACAACUCCAGUUUGCCUAUUGUCCCAACAAAUGUCAAUUAUACAUUUUUACAUACGUCAGAGUGCAUUUUAUUUUAUAGCUCUGCUUUCAACGCCAUCCUGACCCACAAACUGGUUUGCAGACUCAGGGCUCUGGGUGUAAAUCCUGUAAUAACAAAUUUCGAUUUUUUACAUUAUCAUAAGAAUGUGUAUCCCCAGAAUUGACGUGACACUACCAUGGUACACAUGAGUACAUGAAGGAGCUGUGGGACCCAACACUACCAUGGUACACAUGAGUACAUGAAGCAGCUCUGGGACCUGACACUACCAUGGUACACAUGAGUACAUGAAGGAGCUGUGGGACCCGACACUACCAUGGUACACAUGAGUACAUGAAGGAGCUGUGGGACCCGACACUACCAUGGUACACAUGAGUACAUGAAGGAGCUGUGGGACCUGACAUAAUGAUGAUAGGACAACAGUCUCAGCGUAAACAAAACAAAGUACAUGGUGAUACUUGACCAUUCUCCCAUCUACUGUACAUUGACAUGGAGAUGAUCAGCAGCUUCAAGUUCCUGGGCACCCUGAUAUCCUUUUCUGCCUUCAGUUACUUCACUCAAAGUCCCACUUGUGCUUCUCCACUACCCUCAAACUUGCUCCACCACGACCUAUGUACCAACUACAGUGUCUUUUAUUGCCAUUACACAUGUAAAUGAAAUGUACAUAUUUACGGUAGGAUUUAUUUAUGGUAACAUUGCACAUAUUGUAACAGUCCCUUGACAUACAUGACUUAACUAUGCAUAAUGCUCAGUUUACCCACUAAGAAAUCAUACAUUUAUUAAAUCUGCAUUAUUUA
Long non-coding RNA from Salmo salar (Atlantic salmon), 1902 nucleotides. RefSeq lists it as uncharacterized. Lineage: Eukaryota; Metazoa; Chordata; Actinopteri; Salmoniformes; Salmonidae. The record is from RefSeq and is a predicted model, not a curated record.